RNAcentral lists this ribosomal RNA (256 nucleotides) under uncultured bacterium. RNAcentral describes it as "partial 16S ribosomal RNA". It matches the Rfam family "Bacterial small subunit ribosomal RNA", at positions 524 to 776 of the family's 1533-position model. The record is from RNAcentral.
UACGAGGGGGGGCGAGCGUUGUUCGGAAUUAUUGGGCGUAAAGGGUGCGUAGGCGGUUUGGUAAGUCUUAUGUGAAAUCUAUGGGCUCAACUCAUAGUCUGCAUGAGAAACUGCCGGGCUUGAGUAUGGGAGAGGUGAGUGGAAUUCCUGGUGUAGCGGUGAAAUGCGUAGAUAUCAGGAGGAACACCUGUGGCGAAAGCGGCUCACUGGACCAUAACUGACGCUGAUGCACGAAAAGCUAGGGGGAGCAAACAGG